This 440-nucleotide ribosomal RNA is filed under the name uncultured bacterium. RNAcentral's name for it is "partial 16S ribosomal RNA". It matches the Rfam family "Bacterial small subunit ribosomal RNA", at positions 338 to 795 of the family's 1533-position model. The record is from RNAcentral.
CCUACGGGAGGCAGCAGUAGGGAAUAUUGCUCAAUGGGGGAAACCCUGAAGCAGCAACGCCGCGUGGAGGAUGAAGGUUUUCGGAUUGUAACCUCCUUUUGUUAGAGAAGCUACUGACGGUCUCUAACGAAUAAGCCCCGGCUAACUCCGUGCCAGCCGCCGCGGUAAUACGGAGGGUGCAAGCGUUUAUCGGAAUCACUGGGCGUAAAGCGCGCGUUGGCGGGAUAGCACGUCAGAUGUGAAAUCCUAUGGCUUAACCAUAGAACUGAAUGUGAAAUUGGUAUUCUAGAGUAUGGGAGAGGUAGGUGGAAUUCUUGGUGUAGGGGUAAAAUCCGUAGAGAUAAAGAGGAAUACUCAUUGCGAAGGCGACCUGCUAGAACAUAACUGACGCUGAUGCGCGAAAGCGUGGGGAGCAAACAGGAUUAGAUACCCCAGUAGUC